GAUAAACGCUGGCGGCGUGCCUAACACAUGCAAGUCGAACGCCCUUUUGCGCAAGUGAGAGGGAGUGGCGGACGGGUGAGUACCACGUGGGUACCUACCUUGAGGUGAGGAAUACCACCGAGAAAUCGGUGACAAGACCGCAUACGCUCGGGCAACCGAGCAAAGUCAUGCAAAUGACGCCACAAGAUGAGCCUGCGCCUGAUUAGCUGGUUGGUGAGGUAACAGCUCACCAAGGCGACGAUCAGUAGCUGGUCUGAGAGGAUGAUCAGCCACACUGGGAUUGAGAACGGCCCAGACUCCUACGGGGG
This 308-nucleotide ribosomal RNA is filed under the name uncultured bacterium. RNAcentral's name for it is "bacterial SSU rRNA". It matches the Rfam family "Bacterial small subunit ribosomal RNA", at positions 28 to 347 of the family's 1533-position model. The record is from RNAcentral.